GAUGAACGCUGGCGGCGUGCCUAAUACAUGCAAGUCGAGCGAACAGACGAGGAGCUUGCUCCUCUGACGUUAGCGUCGGACGGGUGAGUAACACGUGGAUUACCUACCUAUAAGACUGGGAUAACUUCGGGAAACCGGAGCGAAUACCGGAUAAUAUAUUGAACCGCAUGGUUCAAUAGUGAAAGACGGUUUUGCUGUCACUUAUAGAUGGAUCCGCGCCGCAUUAGCUAGUUGGUAAGGUAACGGCUUACCAAGGCAACGAUGCGUAGCCGACCUGAGAGGGUGAUUGGCCACACUGGAACUGAGACACGGUCCAGACUCCUACGGGAGGCAGCAGUAGGGAAUCUUCCGCAAUGGGCGAAAGCCUGACGGAGCAACGCCGCGUGAGUGAUGAAGGUCUUCGGAUCGUAAAACUCUGUUAUUCGGGAAGAACAAAUGUGUAAGUAACUAUGCACGUCUUGACGGUACCUAAUCAGAAAGCCACGGCUAACUACGUG
RNAcentral lists this ribosomal RNA (497 nucleotides) under uncultured bacterium. RNAcentral's name for it is "partial 16S ribosomal RNA". It matches the Rfam family "Bacterial small subunit ribosomal RNA", at positions 28 to 507 of the family's 1533-position model. The record is from RNAcentral.